UACAGGGGGGGCAAGCGUUAUUCGGAAUUAUUGGGCGUAAAGGGCGCGUAGGCGGCUUUUCAAGUGACGGGUGAAAUCCCUCGGCUUAACCGAGGAACUGCCUGUCAGACUGGAAGGCUUGAGACCGGGAGAGGUGAGUGGAAUUCCCAGUGUAGCGGUGAAAUGCGUAGAUAUUGGGAGGAACACCAGUGGCGAAGGCGGCUCACUGGACCGGAACUGACGCUGAGGCGCGAAAGCGUGGGGAGCGAACAGG
This 253-nucleotide ribosomal RNA is filed under the name uncultured bacterium. RNAcentral's name for it is "partial 16S ribosomal RNA". It matches the Rfam family "Bacterial small subunit ribosomal RNA", at positions 524 to 776 of the family's 1533-position model. The record is from RNAcentral.